Molecule: ribosomal RNA, 232 nt
Filed under: uncultured bacterium
Lineage: Bacteria
Description: partial 16S ribosomal RNA
Rfam family: Bacterial small subunit ribosomal RNA
Source: RNAcentral
CGGACGGGUGAGUAAUGCUUGGGAAUCUGGCUUAUGGAGGGGGAUAACGACGGGAAACUGUUGCUAAUACCGCGUAGAAUCGAGAGAUGAAAGUGCGGGACCGCAAGGCCGCAUGCCAUAGGAUGAGCCCAAGUGGGAUUAGGUAGUUGGUGGGGUAAAGGCCUACCAAGCCGACGAUCUCUAGCUGGUCUGAGAGGAUGACCAGCCACACCGGGACUGAGACACGGCCCGG